Molecule: ribosomal RNA, 468 nt
Filed under: uncultured bacterium
Lineage: Bacteria
Description: partial 16S ribosomal RNA
Rfam family: Bacterial small subunit ribosomal RNA
Source: RNAcentral
GACGAACGCUGGCGGCGUGCUUAACACAUGCAAGUCGAACGGCAAGGCCCUGCUUUUGUGCGGUGACCGAGUGGCGAACGGGUGCGUAACACGUGAGUAACCUGCCCUUGACUUUGGGAUAACUUCAGGAAACUGGGGCUAAUACCGGAUAGGAGCUCCUGCUGCGUGGAGGGGGUUGGAAAGUUUCGGCGGGUGUGGAUGGACGAGCGGCUUAUCAGCUAGUUGGUGGGGGAGUGGCUUACCAAGGCUUUGACGGGUCGCCGGCCUGAGAGGGUGAACGGCGACCUGGGGCCUACGAUAGGGCGCAGUGUCCUACGGUGGGCAGCAGUGGGGAGUAUUGCCCAGUGGGCCGACGCCGGUGGCAGAAGCGUCGCGUUUGGGAUGACGGCCUUCUGGUUGUGAACCGCAGUCGCCUGUGACGACGCGGGAGUGACGGUAAUCGGUAAAGAAGCACCGGCUAACUACGUG